UACGUAGGGGGCUAGCGUUGUCCGGAUUUAUUGGGCGUAAAGAGCGUGUAGGCGGCCGUGCAAGUCUGGCGUGAAAGCCCCGGGCUCAGCCCGGGAAGUGCGCUCGAAACUGCGCGGCUCGAGUGCCGGAGGGGAGAGUGGAAUUCCUGGUGUAGCGGUGAAAUGCGUAGAUAUCAGGAGGAAUACCGGUGGCGAAGGCGACUACCUGGCCUGUUCUUGACGCUGAGGCGCGAAAGCUAGGGGAGCAAACGGG
This 253-nucleotide ribosomal RNA is filed under the name uncultured bacterium. RNAcentral describes it as "partial 16S ribosomal RNA". It matches the Rfam family "Bacterial small subunit ribosomal RNA", at positions 524 to 776 of the family's 1533-position model. The record is from RNAcentral.